RNAcentral lists this ribosomal RNA (253 nucleotides) under uncultured bacterium. RNAcentral describes it as "partial 16S ribosomal RNA". It matches the Rfam family "Bacterial small subunit ribosomal RNA", at positions 524 to 776 of the family's 1533-position model. The record is from RNAcentral.
UACGUAGGCAGCAAGCGUUGUUCGGAUUCAUUGGGCGUAAAGGGUGCGUAGGCGGCGCGGUAAGUCGGGUGUGAAAUCUCGGGGCUUAACUCCGAAACUGCAUUCGAUACUGCCGUGCUUGAGGACUGGAGAGGAGACUGGAAUUUACGGUGUAGCGGUGAAAUGCGUAGAUAUCGUAAGGAAGACCAGUGGCGGAGGCGGGUCUCUGGACAGUUCCUGACGCUGAGGCACGAAGGUCAGGGGAGCAAACGGG